Molecule: non-coding RNA, 508 nt
Organism: Cinara cedri
Lineage: Eukaryota; Metazoa; Arthropoda; Insecta; Hemiptera; Aphididae
Source: the annotation of a GenBank genome assembly
GUUACAGAAUAAGUAGGUGUAUUAGAAUUAGGCAAAUUAUUAUUUAUAAUACGAAAAGUUCAAUCUAGAGAGAAUGCGUAACCAUAAUUAAUACUAUGGAAAUUGCAUCUAAAUGUUAAGCCCUACUUCGAGUUAAAAAAUGGAACAGCAAUGGGACGUAGGAAUAAAAUAUAAAGGGAAUCAAUUAAACCAUUAAGUAAUUUAAAUACAUUAAUGAUGUUAAAUAAAGCGGUAAAUUUGCAUACCUAAAUGAUAUUCGAAAUAAUCAACGCAAUUUAAAUCAACUAAAUCAGAGGUAGAUGUGGUAUCAGAUUGGUUAGAAGGGUUAGAUGAACCUAACCUAACCGAUUUUAAAGAAUGAAGUAAAGAAAUAUCUUGAUGUAUAUAAUAACAGAUAUAUUAUUUAGAGUCAUUAUAAUUGGAAUGAAAUUUUCAUACCACUAAAAUACGUUGGGUUAUCCACUAAAGAUGAUUGUAUGCGGGUGAGGUAGUUUGAAUAGGAUAAUUU